CCCUGUUCUUUAUUAUCUUCUUCUUCUCUCUUUCCAGAUGUGUCCAUGCUACAAUUGUAGGGCUGUACUCUUCAAUUUGAUGGUGCAUCAAAAGGAAAUCCUGGAGUAGCUGGUGCUGGAGCUGUACUGCGAGCAGAUGAUGGAACCUUGAUCUGUAAACUACGUGAAGGUCUGGGUGUUGCAACCAGUAACGCUGCUGAGUACCGAGCUGUUAUUUUAGGGUUAAAAUAUGCGCUUAAAAAAGGUUUUUCCAGGAUCUUUGUUCAAGGUGACUCCAAACUCGUCUGUAUGCAGGUUCAGGGUUUAUGGCAGGUGAAAAACCAGAACUUGUCUACUUUGUAUGAAGAGGUGAAGAAACUGAAGGAUGGAUUUGUCUCCUUCAAGAUCAGUCAUGUUCUUAGGGAGCUAAAUUCUGGGGCAGAUGCUCAAGCAAACUUGGCAAUCACUCUUGCCGAUGGUCAAGUCCAGGAAGAGUCUGGGAAGUAGUUAAAAUGAUUGUCUGUUGCUGGUUAUGUUCUGGGUUCGUAAAUAUGAUAUCAUGAAACCCUGAUGAGUAGAGGAUUCUUUGGCUUCCCUCGUAUUAAUCUGAGAAUGUGGCUUGGUACUUGCUACAAUGUGACCUCCGGCAUAGAAUUAAACAUCACAAGGCAUGAUUCAACUGCAAAACUGAAGCUUAUGUGGAUGUAGAGCCAGGUACACCAGGAUCAAAUAACUCGUUACACAAGUGACAUUCAGAUUGACAAGCUACUAGCCUUUGAAAAAAGAAAGACGUAGAAUUUUUGUUUAUAGCGGGAACGAUCGGAGCAGAAUAUGAAAACUCUUACUAGCAUUAUUCAUAGUUCUUUCACUUUGCAAUAAGGUUCUUUUGGAGUUUCUAUAUAUCUUUUCACGUCCAUGGAGCAGUUAUCA
This is a long non-coding RNA of Rosa rugosa (rugosa rose), 909 nucleotides long. RefSeq lists it as uncharacterized. The transcript has 5 exons. The record is from RefSeq and is a predicted model, not a curated record. Lineage: Eukaryota; Viridiplantae; Streptophyta; Magnoliopsida; Rosales; Rosaceae.